Molecule: non-coding RNA, 71 nt
Organism: Myotis brandtii (Brandt's bat)
Lineage: Eukaryota; Metazoa; Chordata; Mammalia; Chiroptera; Vespertilionidae
Source: Rfam
GGAGGUUCUCGGGUGACACACCCCUGAAUCGGGCUCCCUCUUCUCUGGUUCCCUGGUGUGUCACCAAGUCA